Molecule: ribosomal RNA, 464 nt
Filed under: Vreelandella stevensii
Lineage: Bacteria; Pseudomonadati; Pseudomonadota; Gammaproteobacteria; Oceanospirillales; Halomonadaceae
Description: partial 16S ribosomal RNA
Rfam family: Bacterial small subunit ribosomal RNA
Source: RNAcentral
CCUACGGGUGGCAGCAGUGGGGAAUAUUGGACAAUGGGGGGAACCCUGAUCCAGCCAUGCCGCGUGUGUGAAGAAGGCCCUCGGGUUGUAAAGCACUUUCAGUGAGGAAGAACGCCUGGUGGUUAAUACCCAUCAGGAAAGACAUCACUCACAGAAGAAGCACCGGCUAACUCCGUGCCAGCAGCCGCGGUAAUACGGAGGGUGCGAGCGUUAAUCGGAAUUACUGGGCGUAAGCGCGCGUAGGUGGCUUGAUAAGCCGGUUGUGAAAGCCCCGGGCUCAACCUGGGAACGGCAUCCGGAACUGUCAAGCUAGAGUGCAGGAGAGGAAGGUAGAAUUCCCGGUGUAGCGGUGAAAUGCGUAGAGAUCGGGAGGAAUACCAGUGGCGAAGGCGGCCUUCUGGACUGACACUGACACUGAGGUGCGAAAGCGUGGGUAGCAAACAGGAUUAGAUACCCUGGUAGUC